GAUGAACGCUGGCGGCGUGCCUAAUACAUGCAAGUCGAGCGAACAGAUGAGGAGCUUGCUCCUCUGACGUUAGCGGCGGACGGGUGAGUAACACGUGGAUAACCUACCUAUAAGACUGGGAUAACUUCGGGAAACCGGAGCUAAUACCGGAUAAUAUAUUGAACCGCAUGGUUCAAUAGUGAAAGACGGUUUUGCUGUCACUUAUAGAUGGAUCCGCGCCGCAUUAGCUAGUUGGUAAGGUAACGGCUUACCAAGGCAACGAUGCGUAGCCGACCUGAGAGGGUGAUCGGCCACCCUGGAACUGAGACACGGUCCAGACUCCUACGGGGGGCAGCAGUAGGGAAUCUUCCGCAAUGGGCGAAAGCCUGACGGAGCAACGCCGCGUGAGUGAUGAAGGUCUUCGGAUCGUAAAACUCUGUUAUUAGGGAAGAACAAAUGUGUAAGUACCUGUGCACAUCUUGACGGUACCUAAUCAGAAAGCCCCGGCUAACUACGUG
This 497-nucleotide ribosomal RNA is filed under the name uncultured bacterium. RNAcentral describes it as "partial 16S ribosomal RNA". It matches the Rfam family "Bacterial small subunit ribosomal RNA", at positions 28 to 507 of the family's 1533-position model. The record is from RNAcentral.